This 211-nucleotide long non-coding RNA is filed under the name Mytilus galloprovincialis (Mediterranean mussel). The record is from RNAcentral. Lineage: Eukaryota; Metazoa; Mollusca; Bivalvia; Mytilida; Mytilidae.
GUGUAUUAUUAUUUGUCUGUUUGUCUAUUUCAUUUUUAGCCAUGGCGUUGAGUCAGUUUAUUUUCGAUUUAUGAGUUUUACUGUUUCCCUGGUAUCUUUCGCCCCUCUGUUAGACAAUUGAUUGGUUAGGUCAGAGUUAUCUUUCUUAAGAUUUCAGCAUUUACAAUAGUUUCUCUCCUUCCCCUAGCAAUGUUACCUGUAAGCAUGUUAU